GACGAACGCUGGCGGCGUGCUUAACACAUGCAAGUCGAACGGUGAAGGGGCCUGCUUUUGUGGGCCCUGGAUGAGUGGCGAACGGGUGAGUCACACGUGAGUAACCUGCCCCCUUCUUCUGGAUAACCGCAUGAAAGUGUGGCUAAUACGGGAUAUUCUGGGUCUGUCGCAUGAUGGGUCUGGGAAAGAUUGUGCCUUUGGGUGUUUUUGGUGGGGGAUGGGCUCGCGGCCUAUCAGCUUGUUGGUGGGGUGAUGGCCUACCAAGGCGGUGACGGGUAGCCGACCUGAGAGGGUGGACGGUCACACUGGGACUGAGACACGGCCCAGACUCCUACGGGAGGCAGCAGUGGGGAAUAUUGCACGAGGGGCGCAAGCCGGAUGCAGCGACGCCGCGUGAGGGAUGGAGGCCUUCGGGUUGUAAACCUCUUUCGCCAGUGAAGCAGGCCUGCUCCUUGUGGGUGGGUUGACGGUAGCUGGAUAAGAAGCGCCGGCUAACUACGUG
RNAcentral lists this ribosomal RNA (502 nucleotides) under uncultured bacterium. RNAcentral's name for it is "partial 16S ribosomal RNA". It matches the Rfam family "Bacterial small subunit ribosomal RNA", at positions 28 to 507 of the family's 1533-position model. The record is from RNAcentral.